Notolabrus celidotus (New Zealand spotty) is the source of this 1752-nucleotide long non-coding RNA. RefSeq lists it as uncharacterized. NCBI's taxonomy places the organism in Eukaryota, Metazoa, Chordata, Actinopteri, Labriformes, Labridae. The record is from RefSeq and is a predicted model, not a curated record. The transcript is spliced from 3 exons.
UGAAAGAGGCCUUUGAGGAGGACGCACCGAAGCACCGGAGCCAAUCUUGUGUCACACAUGGAAGGGUGUGUGAGUGUGUGUGAGUGUGUGUGUUUUCAGUAUGCAGGAGAUACAUCUAUUCAAAGUGAUGGAGAUGUCAGCCUGUGUGUCUUGAGAGGAAGUCAUGCUCACCUUGCUCCGCAGCAGCCCUCCGCUGUGGUGCUCCGGCGUGCUCCUCUCCGACGACGGCUUGGCCUUCUCCUUGUUGUUGCUUGAGUCGUUGUCCUUGAUGAUGUCAUACUGCCGGCAGAACAGGGCAAUAACAGCUGGCAGGAGCAGGCCUCCUAACAUACCAACUAAGAAGAUUCCUUGACGUUUGGAGCCAGCCUCAAGUGGACACUCAAGGAACUGCAGUUUUUAGCACCUCAGCAUUGUCCUCAUUUUUCAGCACUGGAGGUCAGGAGGGUCACUCCUCCUACCUUGGUUGGAGCUGUUGGAGGGGAAGCGGUCCGUCUUCUUCAGAGUACGAAAAUGGACCUUCUUGCUGGCUUGGCUUUCCCCGUAGAGGCCGAUCGACUGAACCUGGAUGAUGUAGUCCGUUUCUUCCUCCAGGUCCCAGAGGACACAUGAGCGGCUGGUGGUGUUUACUUCCCUAAUGAAUCGCUGCAUGUGUCCGUCCUGCCUCUGGGAAUUGAACGAGGGACAGAGAACAACAGAAUGGAUCCUUUAGGUCAAUAAAUAACACGAUAAUCAAUACAGAGGGAGAAGGGGUGAUUAUGGCGACUACACAGCAAAGCCAGACCUGCAAAUGUGUCCCUCAGGAAGACAGUCUCUUCUGUGUGGGGCCUUGUUUCUUAACUCCAGGAAUCCCUCUUCCUGGUCUAAUGUUUCCGCCUCAAGCAUCAUAAAAACCAAUCAUGUUCCUCUAUGUGAGAUGGAGGUGACCAUCCAAAAAAUUAUGAAGGUGCUUGGAAGCAACGUGCCGAGUACCUUAUUAUGUUCACAGUUGGCACUUCAUUUUCACCAUGUGGAGUCCAGACUGGAAAUUGAAAAGUUGUGGAGUCAAUUUUUCUUGAUUAAUUUAGACUGCGAGUGUAGAGAAGAAGCUUUCACAGUCUCACGCUUUGGUUUUGACUUUCAGGAUGUUAUUGAAGCUGAGAAUUAUGGAAAUUAUUCCUCUCUCUCUCUCUCUCUCUCAUGCAGAGCUGGUUUCCUGGAGCACUCUCAGGUCUGUCUACAUUUGAUGUGGCUUUGGGCCAGGUGUCGUCUUCCCAUGUUCUUUUACGGCGCUGCCUGAUGGAUGGCGUUUGUAACUCUUUGUUAACAAUGUGGUGAUUUAAAAGCCGUGUACACUCAAAGUAAUGACUAUUCAUGUUCAAAUUUAGUUGCGUAACAUGACGAAGAGCCCUGAGGAGAGACCUUCAGGUGUUUUACAGCCAUCCAGUCAAUGAGUGAAAGGCAGAGUUAAAUGUGGAGAUGCAGAAAGCAUAAACAUGAUUACAGCACCAUAUGGCAGUUUGUCAGUUAGGUUUAGCAUUCAGAGGUUUUCCUAUUUUUAAGCCUUUGAAAUCUUUUCAUCCAAUGAAUGCAGUUUGGCAGCUUGAUGUGCUUAUGUGGAGCCAAUUCCUGCUGCUUCCUUGUUUUCUCCACACACCGUCCAUGCCAGCUUUAGUUCUGACUUCGAGCUUGAUGGCAGGAAUUAGUCCGUCUCUCUGCAUAUCAAACAGAGAUUUAAGGGAAAACGCAUCUUUUUCCAAACAAGAUCUUCUGUAG